CCUACGGGAGGCAGCAGUGAGGAAUAUUGGUCAAUGGGCGUAAGCCUGAACCAGCCAAGCCGCGUGAGGGAUGAAGGUUUUCUGGAUCGAAAACUCUUUUUAUAAGGGAGUAAAGUGUGGGACGUGCCCUAUUUUGUACGUACCUUAUGUACAAGGAACGGCUAACUCCGUGCCAGCAGCCGCGGUAAUACGGAGGAUCCGAGCGUUAUCCGGAUUUAUUGGGUUUAAAGGGUGCGUAGGCGGCCUUUUAAGUCAGCGGUGAAAGUCCGUGGCUCAACCAUAGAAUUGCCUUGGAAACUGGGGGGCUUGAGUGUGUUAGAGGCAGGCGGAAUGCGUGGUGUAGCGGUGAAAUGCGUAGAUAUCACGCAGAACCCCAGUUGCGAAGGCGGCCUGCCGGGCCAUGACUGACGCUGAUGCACGAAAGCGUGGGGAGCAAACAGGAUUAGAUACCCUUGUAGUC
RNAcentral lists this ribosomal RNA (460 nucleotides) under uncultured bacterium. RNAcentral's name for it is "partial 16S ribosomal RNA". It matches the Rfam family "Bacterial small subunit ribosomal RNA", at positions 338 to 795 of the family's 1533-position model. The record is from RNAcentral.